AUGAAGGACUUUGUUGCUUGGAAUUUUAACAAAACCGGCAUAUUUACCGUCAGGUCCGCGUAUUACACUGAAUGGGAGUUCCAACAUGGGAGGAAACUGGCUAGGACGAGCCCUCCAAGCACCACCACAGUGAACCCUGUCUGGCAGCAGCUGUGGAAACUUCAAGUCCCGGCAAAGGUAAAGAUCCACUGUUGGAGGGUAUUGCAUGGGACCAUUCCAUGUAAUAGCAUUCUUGCUAAUCGACACAUACAGACUAGUAGUCUCUGCCGUGUUUGCAAAGUCCAUUGUGAGGAUAUCAAGCAUGCUACUUUCUCAUGUGUUCGAGUUUCAGAAGUCUGGGGCAGUUUGGGCGUGGGUGACGCCAUAUCUGCAGCCUGCGGACAUGAUAAUACAUGACCGGGUGCCUUGGAAACCAUACUGCGAGGUCAGAUUUCGGGACCUACUCACAUUUCGGGUGUGGGGUUUAAGGAACUUGUGGCGACGGCUUGCUGGAGAGCAGCAAAACCAGCAGCUAAGAUUCGAAGACACGGCUGGGAACGACCUGGAGAUGGAUUUGCAAAGCUGAAUGUCGAUGCGGCGUUCUCUGUUGAUGCGGGAAGUGGAGCGACAGGAGCUGUCAUCCGCGACGAUCAAGGCAGAUUCUUAUCGGCGAGUGCUUGUGCUAUCAGUUACGUAGCUGAUGCACCUACAGCCGAAGCUCGCUCUAUCCGGGACGGAUUGAUCCUAGCAAGCAACUCAGGAUGCAACAACAUCAUUGUUAAUUCAGACUACCUGGAAGUAAUUUAG
Molecule: ribosomal RNA, 786 nt
Filed under: Triticum aestivum (bread wheat)
Lineage: Eukaryota; Viridiplantae; Streptophyta; Magnoliopsida; Poales; Poaceae
Description: partial small subunit ribosomal RNA
Source: RNAcentral